Molecule: long non-coding RNA, 213 nt
Filed under: Lathyrus oleraceus (garden pea)
Lineage: Eukaryota; Viridiplantae; Streptophyta; Magnoliopsida; Fabales; Fabaceae
Description: Pisum sativum (pea) long non-coding RNA (PSAT_LNC029330)
Source: RNAcentral
ACUUCCUCUCUUGGUUUUGACACCAUUUUCUUACCAUGUUAGUCUCUGUGCUUUGGUAAGUCUUCUUUCCGGUUUAAACACCACCCCUAAUCAUUCUCUCUUUCAGUCUCUAUCCUCCGAACUACAAAGCUCUGACUUCCUAAUUGCACUAUGAGGGUAAGUAGGCACGAGGAUGCGAAUCCUUGGCAAACAUUUUUCUUUUUUUCCCUUUUC